RNAcentral lists this ribosomal RNA (497 nucleotides) under uncultured Virgibacillus sp. RNAcentral's name for it is "bacterial SSU rRNA". It matches the Rfam family "Bacterial small subunit ribosomal RNA", at positions 388 to 875 of the family's 1533-position model. The record is from RNAcentral. Lineage: Bacteria; Bacillati; Bacillota; Bacilli; Caryophanales; Bacillaceae.
GGAGCAACGCCGCGUGAACGAUGAAGGCCUUCGGGUCGUAAAGUUCUGUUGUUAGGGAAGAACAAGUACCGUUCGAAUAGGUCGGUACCUUGACGGUACCUAACGAGGAAGCCCCGGCUAACUACGUGCCAGCAGCCGCGGUAAUACGUAGGGGGCAAGCGUUGUCCGGAAUUAUUGGGCGUAAAGCGCGCGCAGGCGGUUCCUUAAGUCUGAUGUGAAAGCCCACGGCUUAACCGUGGAGGGUCAUUGGAAACUGGGGAGCUUGAGUACAGAAGAGGAGAGUGGAAUUCCACGUGUAGCGGUGAAAUGCGUAGAUAUGUGGAGGAACACCAGUGGCGAAGGCGACUCUCUGGUCUGUAACUGACGCUGAGGCGCGAAAGCGUGGGGAGCGAACAGGAUUAGAUACCCUGGUAGUCCACGCCGUAAACGAUGAGUGCUAGGUGUUAGGGGGUUUCCGCCCCUUAGUGCUGAAGUUAACGCAUUAAGCACUCCGCCUG